UCGGGAAUUUUGGGCAAUGGGGGCAACCCUGACCCAGCAACUCCGCGUGAGGGAUGAAGGCCCUCGGGUCGUAAACCUCUGUCGGGAGGGAAGAAGGGGCCGUCGGUCAAUAUCCGACGGUUUUGACGGUACCUCCAAAGGAAGCACCGGCUAACUCCGUGCCAGCAGCCGCGGUAAUACGGAGGGUGCAAGCGUUGUUCGGAAUCAUUGGGCGUAAAGCGGGUGUAGGCGGCUUGGUAAGUCGGGUGUGAAAGCCCUGGGCCCAACCCAGGAACUGCACUCGAAACUGCCUCGCUAGAGUCCCGGAGAGGGUGGCGGAAUUCCCGGUGUAGAGGUGAAAUUCGUAGAUAUCGGGAGGAACACCAGUGGCGAAGGCGGCCACCUGGACGGUGACUGACGCUGAGACCCGAAAGCGUGGGGAGCAAACAGGAUUAGAUACCCGUGUAGUCC
This 450-nucleotide ribosomal RNA is filed under the name uncultured prokaryote. RNAcentral describes it as "bacterial SSU rRNA". It matches the Rfam family "Bacterial small subunit ribosomal RNA", at positions 355 to 796 of the family's 1533-position model. The record is from RNAcentral.